UACGAAGGGGGCUAGCGUUGCUCGGAAUCACUGGGCGUAAAGCGCACGUAGGCGGCUUUUUAAGUCAGAGGUGAAAUCCUGGAGCUCAACUCCAGAACUGCCUUUGAUACUGGAGAGCUUGAGUCCGGGAGAGGUGAGUGGAACUGCGAGUGUAGAGGUGAAAUUCGUAGAUAUUCGCAAGAACACCAGUGGCGAAGGCGGCUCACUGGCCCGGUACUGACGCUGAGGUGCGAAAGCGUGGGGAGCAAACAGG
RNAcentral lists this ribosomal RNA (253 nucleotides) under uncultured bacterium. RNAcentral describes it as "partial 16S ribosomal RNA". It matches the Rfam family "Bacterial small subunit ribosomal RNA", at positions 524 to 776 of the family's 1533-position model. The record is from RNAcentral.